UCCACUAAACAGUUAGUUUCAUUUGGUCUAAAAUGUUUAGUCACUGUUUCCUCCUGCCCUCAACCAGACUUUGCAAAUUUGUGUUUUCUUACUUCCUUUUUUAUGAUCUAAUCACUGUUUGGUUGGUGGCGUCCGUCAGGCUGGCAGGCAGCAGAUGGAGGCUGACAUCUCAGUAUGGAGGAAGGAGACGAGCUGUCAGAUAGUUUAUCCUGCAGCCUUGUCCUCCACUAACAACCAGCUCACCACAGGCCUCAUUCAUCCGCCUCGUCAGGCUGCAGGCAGCAGCUGGCAGCUCGUCAGUCUCCAUACAGAGGAGACAGUGGAACCAAACAGAUUGCUGUAGAAUUCCUCAAAGAGUCAUCUCUCUCUCUGCUGUCCUAAAGUUCAGUAUGCCCACAAAGAGACAAAACAUUUUUAACAUCUCCACAAUAUAAAAAGAACCCCACACCCAUUACCGGAGGUAUGCUGAGUUUAAAACUGCAAAAACAACUUCUCAAGUACAAGUCAUCAAAAUAAUAGAAUCUACAGGGAAAAAAAGACCUGAGUAGCAAGACAAUAGCAUGACUUAUCGGCAGCCAUCUCCAGUGGCAAUACCCGCACUUUCCACCUACGUUGUUUGGCAUCUGUGGCCAGCUGAGUAUAUUUUUGCAGACCACAUCUUCCCAGGCGUGGUUCCCACACAGGAGUGAAGCGCCCAAAGAAAGAAGUUAAUGAAGUUGAGUUUCCCUUUGAAAUGCGGGAGCAGAGCCUCCCCAGUUUCUACCUUAUCAGAGUCACUGAGAAAGCUGGUUGGGAAUCUUGCCCAAAGACAUUUUGAUGGACACACUGGCAGUUGUUUGGAUCUCAUCUGUGAUAGUUCAGACUUGCCCUACAGCGUUGGAUCCUGUCUGUCUGCAGCACUGCUGUGCUUGCUGAAGGAGGAGAAGAAGUGCUACUCGGACAAGAAUGAAAGCACUCGGCUCAGACUGGGUGUAUCUGCCCGAACACAGUGAUGAGUUUGAUCCCCACGCCGCCUGCUUGCAUGCGUUCCUUCACCUUUCAUCCCCCAACUCAUUCUACAGAGACGUUACCUUUCCAUCCCCUCCGUCCCCAGGACUUUUCCUCACAUCUGUAACGGCCCAGUGAGCGUGCCAACCAGCAGGGGACAACGCGAUGCACUGAAGGUGACAUCUACACAGUACAACCUGACGCACUGUGAACAAGGGUCCAGAGGUGGAAGGGCUGCAUGGGUCACGUCUGAUGGUCGGUUCAGUGAAACCAGACGGUUUUGUUCCAGAGGGAGAAAGAAGAGAAGAAA
Long non-coding RNA from Micropterus dolomieu (smallmouth bass), 1297 nucleotides. RefSeq lists it as uncharacterized. NCBI's taxonomy places the organism in Eukaryota, Metazoa, Chordata, Actinopteri, Centrarchiformes, Centrarchidae. The transcript is spliced from 6 exons. The record is from RefSeq and is a predicted model, not a curated record.